GAUGAACGCUGGCGGCGUGCCUAAUACAUGCAAGUCGAGCGAACGGACGAGAAGCUUGCUUCUCUGAUGUUAGCGGCGGACGGGUGAGUAACACGUGGAUAACCUACCUAUAAGACUGGGAUAACUUCGGGAAACCGGAGCUAAUACCGGAUAAUAUUUUGAACCGCAUGGUUCAAAAGUAAAAGACGGUCUUGCUGUCACUUAUAGAUGGAUCCGCGCUGCAUUAGCUAGUUGGUAAGGUAACGGCUUACCAAGGCAACGAUGCAUAGCCGACCUGAGAGGGUGAUCGGCCACACUGGAACUGAGACACGGUCCAGACUCCUACGGGAGGCAGCAGUAGGGAAUCUUCCGCAAUGGGCGAAAGCCUGACGGAGCAACGCCGCGUGAGUGAUGAAGGUCUUCGGAUCGUAAAACUCUGUUAUUAGGGAAGAACAUAUGUGUAAGUAACUGUGCACAUCUUGACGGUACCUAAUCAGAAAGCCACGGCUAACUACGUGCCAGCAGCCGCGGUAAUACGUAGGUGGCAAGCGUUAUCCGGAAUUAUUGGGCGUAAAGCGCGCGUAGGCGGUUUUUUAAGUCUGAUGUGAAAGCCCACGGCUCAACCGUGGAGGGUCAUUGGAAACUGGAAAACUUGAGUGCAGAAGAGGAAAGUGGAAUUCCAUGUGUAGCGGUGAAAUGCGCAGAGAUAUGGAGGAACACCAGUGGCGAAGGCGACUUUCUGGUCUGUAACUGACGCUGAUGUGCGAAAGCGUGGGGAUCAAACAGGAUUAGAUACCCUGGUAGUCCACGCCGUAAACGAUGAGUGCUAAGUGUUAGGGGGUUUCCGCCCCUUAGUGCUGCAGCUAACGCAUUAAGCACUCCGCCUGGGGAGUACGACCGCAAGGUUGAAACUCAAAGGAAUUGACGGGGACCCGUACAAGCGGUGGAGCAUGUGGUUUAAUUCGAAGCAACGCGAAGAACCUUACCAAAUCUUGACAUCCUUUGACAACUCUAGAGAUAGAGCCUUCCCCUUCGGGGGACAAAGUGACAGGUGGUGCAUGGUUGUCGUCAGCUCGUGUCGUGAGAUGUUGGGUUAAGUCCCGCAACGAGCGCAACCCUUAAGCUUAGUUGCCAUCAUUAAGUUGGGCACUCUAAGUUGACUGCCGGUGACAAACCGGAGGAAGGUGGGGAUGACGUCAAAUCAUCAUGCCCCUUAUGAUUUGGGCUACACACGUGCUACAAUGGACAAUACAAAGGGCAGCGAAACCGCGAGGUCAAGCAAAUCCCAUAAAGUUGUUCUCAGUUCGGAUUGUAGUCUGCAACUCGACUACAUGAAGCUGGAAUCGCUAGUAAUCGUAGAUCAGCAUGCUACGGUGAAUACGUUCCCGGGUCU
RNAcentral lists this ribosomal RNA (1372 nucleotides) under uncultured bacterium. RNAcentral describes it as "bacterial SSU rRNA". It matches the Rfam family "Bacterial small subunit ribosomal RNA", at positions 28 to 1381 of the family's 1533-position model. The record is from RNAcentral.